Molecule: ribosomal RNA, 2901 nt
Filed under: Klebsiella pneumoniae
Lineage: Bacteria; Pseudomonadati; Pseudomonadota; Gammaproteobacteria; Enterobacterales; Enterobacteriaceae
Description: 23S ribosomal RNA
Rfam family: Bacterial large subunit ribosomal RNA
Source: RNAcentral
GGUUAAGCGACUAAGCGUACACGGUGGAUGCCCUGGCAGUCAGAGGCGAUGAAGGACGUGCUAAUCUGCGAAAAGCGUCGGUAAGGUGAUAUGAACCGUUAUAACCGGCGAUGUCCGAAUGGGGAAACCCAGUGCAAUUCGUUGCACUAUCGUUAACUGAAUACAUAGGUUAACGAGGCGAACCGGGGGAACUGAAACAUCUAAGUACCCCGAGGAAAAGAAAUCAACCGAGAUUCCCCCAGUAGCGGCGAGCGAACGGGGAGCAGCCCAGAGUCUGAAUCAGCUUGUGUGUUAGUGGAACGGUCUGGAAAGUCCGACGGUACAGGGUGAUAGUCCCGUACACCAAAAUGCACAGGUUGUGAACUCGAAGAGUAGGGCGGGACACGUGGUAUCCUGUCUGAAUAUGGGGACCAUCCUCCAAGGCUAAAUACUCCUGACUGACCGAUAGUGAACCAGUACCGUGAGGGAAAGGCGAAAAGAACCCCGGCGAGGGGAGUGAAAAAGAACCUGAAACCGUGUACGUACAAGCAGUGGGAGCACCUUCGGGUGUGACUGCGUACCUUUUGUAUAAUGGGUCAGCGACUUAUAUUCUGUAGCAAGGUUAACCGUAUAGUGGUGCCGCAGGGAAACCGAGUCUUAACUGGGCGUUAAGUUGCAGGGUAUAGACCCGAAACCCGGUGAUCUAGCCAUGGGCAGGUUGAAGGUUGGGUAACACUAACUGGAGGACCGAACCGACUAAUGUUGAAAAAUUAGCGGAUGACUUGUGGCUGGGGGUGAAAGGCCAAUCAAACCGGGAGAUAGCUGGUUCUCCCCGAAAGCUAUUUAGGUAGCGCCUCGUGAACUCAUCUUCGGGGGUAGAGCACUGUUUCGGCUAGGGGGGUCAUCCCGACUUACCAACCCGAUGCAAACUACGAAUACCGAAGAAUGUUAUCACGGGAGACACACGGCGGGUGCUAACGUCCGUCGUGAAGAGGGAAACAACCCAGACCGCCAGCUAAGGUCCCAAAGUCAUGGUUAAGUGGGAAACGAUGUGGGAAGGCACAGACAGCCAGGAUGUUGGCUUAGAAGCAGCCAUCAUUUAAAGAAAGCGUAAUAGCUCACUGGUCGAGUCGGCCUGCGCGGAAGAUGUAACGGGGCUAAACCAUGCACCGAAGCUGCGGCAGCGACACUAUGUGUUGUUGGGUAGGGGAGCGUUCUGUAAGCCUGCGAAGGUGUGCUGUGAGGCAUGCUGGAGGUAUCAGAAGUGCGAAUGCUGACAUAAGUAACGAUAAAGCGGGUGAAAAGCCCGCUCGCCGGAAGACCAAGGGUUCCUGUCCAACGUUAAUCGGGGCAGGGUGAGUCGACCCCUAAGGCGAGGCCGAAAGGCGUAGUCGAUGGGAAACAGGUUAAUAUUCCUGUACUUGGUGUUACUGCGAAGCGGGGACGGAGAAGGCUAUGUUAGCCGGGCGACGGUUGUCCCGGUUUAAGCAUGUAGGCUGGUUAUCCAGGCAAAUCCGGAUAAUCAAGGCUGAGGUGUGAUGACGAGGCACUACGGUGCUGAAGUAACAAAUGCCCUGCUUCCAGGAAAAGCCUCUAAGCAUCAGGUAACAUCAAAUCGUACCCCAAACCGACACAGGUGGUCAGGUAGAGAAUACCAAGGCGCUUGAGAGAACUCGGGUGAAGGAACUAGGCAAAAUGGUGCCGUAACUUCGGGAGAAGGCACGCUGGUGUGUAGGUGAAGUCCCUGCGGAUGGAGCUGAGACCAGUCGAAGAUACCAGCUGGCUGCAACUGUUUAUUAAAAACACAGCACUGUGCAAACACGAAAGUGGACGUAUACGGUGUGACGCCUGCCCGGUGCCGGAAGGUUAAUUGAUGGGGUUAUCCGUAAGGAGAAGCUCUUGAUCGAAGCCCCGGUAAACGGCGGCCGUAACUAUAACGGUCCUAAGGUAGCGAAAUUCCUUGUCGGGUAAGUUCCGACCUGCACGAAUGGCGUAAUGAUGGCCAGGCUGUCUCCACCCGAGACUCAGUGAAAUUGAACUCGCUGUGAAGAUGCAGUGUACCCGCGGCAAGACGGAAAGACCCCGUGAACCUUUACUAUAGCUUGACACUGAACAUUGAGCCUUGAUGUGUAGGAUAGGUGGGAGGCUUUGAAGCGUGGACGCCAGUCUGCGUGGAGCCAACCUUGAAAUACCACCCUUUAAUGUUUGAUGUUCUAACGUUGGCCCCUGACCGGGGUUGCGGACAGUGUCUGGUGGGUAGUUUGACUGGGGCGGUCUCCUCCCAAAGCGUAACGGAGGAGCACGAAGGUUAGCUAAUCCUGGUCGGACAUCAGGAGGUUAGUGCAAUGGCAUAAGCUAGCUUGACUGCGAGCGUGACGGCGCGAGCAGGUGCGAAAGCAGGUCAUAGUGAUCCGGUGGUUCUGAAUGGAAGGGCCAUCGCUCAACGGAUAAAAGGUACUCCGGGGAUAACAGGCUGAUACCGCCCAAGAGUUCAUAUCGACGGCGGUGUUUGGCACCUCGAUGUCGGCUCAUCACAUCCUGGGGCUGAAGUAGGUCCCAAGGGUAUGGCUGUUCGCCAUUUAAAGUGGUACGCGAGCUGGGUUUAGAACGUCGUGAGACAGUUCGGUCCCUAUCUGCCGUGGGCGCUGGAGAAUUGAGGGGGGCUGCUCCUAGUACGAGAGGACCGGAGUGGACGCAUCACUGGUGUUCGGGUUGUCAUGCCAAUGGCACUGCCCGGUAGCUAAAUGCGGAAGAGAUAAGUGCUGAAAGCAUCUAAGCACGAAACUUGCCCCGAGAUGAGUUCUCCCUGAGACUAUAAGUCUCCUGAAGGAACGUUAAAGACGAUGACGUUGAUAGGCCGGGUGUGUAAGCGCAGCGAUGCGUUGAGCUAACCGGUACUAAUGAACCGUGAGGCUUAACCUU